GUUUGCUGAGCUAGUUAAACUGGCUCUUUCUGUCUUGUGCAUUUUCUUUGGCAACAGAGAAGUUCCUCUUUUAUAAAAACAAGCAGGCAGACUGUCUGAUUGGACAUGAGUUUGGAAAGGAUAUGACAUCAACCACAUCCCUCACUUUGUUCUGUGUGCCUGAAAUCUUUUUCCACUUCUUUUACUCAGCCAAUGAAGAGGUGUUCUGUUAAACUGCAAUGCCAAGCAGGCAAGAUGGUAUUUGAGCUUGCAAGAUCUCAAACUGUGAAGUGAAAUAACAGUAUUCAGGCGAGUUGCAAUGGAAGGAGCAAAUGCAGAUUCUCAUUCAUCCCAAGGAUCAGAAAGCCAGUCUCAUCAUGUACCUUUGCGACCGAAUCCAUUGAUGGGUGAUUUUGUUUCCGACUGGGCUCCUAUCCACGAUGCUUCCUUGCAUGGGCGACUACUUGCUCUGAAGAAACUCAUCAAUCAGGGAACCAGUGUGAAUAUUAUGACAGCAGAUUGUGUGUCUCCUCUCCAUGAAGCUUGCCUAGGGGGAAAUUCUGCUUGUGCCAGCGUUUUGUUGAAACAUGGGGCCCAUGUAAACACUGCUACAAUUGACUGGAACACACCUUUGUUCAACGCUUGCAUCAGUGGCAGUGCAGACUGUGUGAAUUUGUUACUGGAACAUGGAGCCAGCCCGCAUCCAAUGUGUGAUCUGGCAUCACCUGUCCAUGAAGCUGCUAAGAGGGGUCACACCAAAUGUGUAGAAUCCCUUGUAUCUCAUGGAGUCGAUAUUGAUCACAACAUAAAACACCUUGGUACUCCACUUUAUGUAGCUUGUGAGAACCAGCAAGUGGAAUGUGCAAAAAAAUUACUUGAAUCAGGGGCAAGUGCAAACACAGGGAAAGGUCUAGAGUCCCCUCUCCAUGUGGCUGCUCAAACCUCCAAUGCUGAUCUGGUGAAUUUGCUUCUUGACUUUGGAGCAAACACAAGGGCCAGGAAUGCUGAGGGGAAAAAACCAACAGAGCUGGUUUCACCAAGCAGCCCACUUGCACAGAUAUUUCUGCAGAGAGAAGGUGCCCAUUAAUCUUUGUUUUCUUCAAAACCAAAGUAUGUAAUGAAGCUGAAGCAGCCUUUGAAAGGACUUUCUCCCCUCUGUUUCGUUGUUAAAUCUGGCAGCGCCAAUGUUUGUCAUUAUGUGCUGAAAGAAAAUCCCCUGUAAAGCUCACCAUUUAGUCAUGGCUGCUGAUGUUGCAAGUUUGUUUUUGAUGUUAUAAAUUAACAAUGGGAGCAUACAUGGAGAUUGAGACACAUCCAAGUACAUCUCCGUGGGAUCCGGAUCUGAGAAGAAAAUGGAACAAGGUGUUUUUCUAAGACCUUUCUCUUUGAUGCAGUUAUGCCGCUUAUGCAUAUGGAGAUACUUGGGAUCCAAACAACAACAAAGAAUAAACCAACUUCAGUUGCCUGAUGAGCUGAAACGGUUUCUCUUGUAUAUUUAAAGGUUUUAUAUUUUCAAGUUCUUAUUAAAGUUUUAUUUCUUA
Molecule: non-coding RNA, 1520 nt
Organism: Anolis sagrei ordinatus
Lineage: Eukaryota; Metazoa; Chordata; Lepidosauria; Squamata; Anolidae
Source: RefSeq, a predicted model, not a curated record